AAAGUCCAUGAAUGGAACUUAAUAACACCCCUCUUCCAUUCUUGGGUAGUUUUUCACUGUCGAGAGAAGGAUGGAUCUCUGUAUAAAAGGAUCCACAGCUGGUGGGUCCUUCAUUCACUGGAUUCCCACACCACUUCUUACAACUAAACUGAACAAGCUCCUCCUUCCCUCCCCGUUGUCAAGAUGUGCUGUACCUACUUCAACUCCUGUCCCUUUUGCUGUGAAGCCUGCUCCUGUUGUCCCCAGCAGUGCGGCUGUUGCCCGUGUUCUUGUCCAAGCUGUCCUAAGCAGUGCGGCUGUUGCCCCUGCUGUCCUAAGCCAUGCCCUUGUUGCUGUCCCAAGCCAUGCCCUUGUUGCUGUCCCAAGCCAUGCCCUUGUUGUUGUCCUAAGCCAUGCCCUUGUUGCUCCUGCUGUCCCCCACAAUGCUGCUGUCCCAAGCCAUGCCCUUGUUGUAGCCAUGUUGCUGUUGCCUCUGUUGUAGCCCCUGCUGUUCCAACCAAUGCAACUGCUGCCAAUGCUCUGCUCCUUGCUACUGUGCCCGUCCUGAUUGCCCUCCUUGUCAGGCUUGCCGCCCUUGCCUUUGUGAAUCCCCUUGUGACAGCUCUCCUUGCCACGAUCCCAAUCUUUGUGAUUUCCAUUGUGUCGUCAUGGUGACUCUCCCUCAUGAGAACCCCCAGAAUGCUGAAGCCAUUGGCGCCAGUGCGGAGGAAUCUGAGAAACAACUUAGCCUGGCGGAAUCCAAGGAAGGUGGCAGUUCUGAAGAGCCUGGAGCCAAAGCUUGAAUGAAGGCCAGACCUUGUGGACCGACAAUUCAAGAAAGAACACCACAAUCUUUUAUGUCAAAUCUUGUUCCCACUCAUUUGUUGAAUCCAGUGCUGUAUUUCACUCUCUUUAAUUUUCGGGGUAAUUCAUCUUGACUUCUUGUUUCUCUUUGCUAGAAAAACGUCUAUCUCCUACAUCCAUGAACUAGUCCUCCUAUCCUUCUUUUAGUGGAUAGGAUGUUUUUUGUCUGUCUUCUCUUUCAUCUCUUUGGGCAAUACCUCUGUCAACCCAGACUACUACUACUACUACUACUACUACUACUAAUAAAGCAUUCUUUUUGGAACUUAUGUCUUUGCAAUUGGUCUGUGUAUGUGCAAAAUUGAAUUAUGCAGUUUUGCAACCUCCAUACUCACCUAGGGUUUACUGUGACAUAAUAUUGUGUGAGUAUCCAGAGGCAAUGGUAGAGCAACAAAUGCAGCAUGGUCAAAUGUGGAAGAGGCUUUUAGCACAUGGGGUCACUCCCUGAUGUACAUC
This 1296-nucleotide long non-coding RNA is filed under the name Anolis carolinensis (green anole). RNAcentral describes it as "lncRNA (ENSACAG00000038942.1)". Lineage: Eukaryota; Metazoa; Chordata; Lepidosauria; Squamata; Anolidae. The record is from RNAcentral.